AAGGACAUCUCCCUCUGCGGCCUCAAUAGGAGCAUCUGCAAGGCGUUUGGGAAAUGUGUGACAACUAAAGAGCGUUCGGGGCUCAUUCAUCCACCGGCCUUGUGUCUCCUUCCUCCCGCACCAAUGGGGUGGUGGAGACGGAGACAUCCCCCAGGGGGAAGGAAUAUGUUUGGGUUGCAAAUUAGCCAAAACAUUGGCUUUGACCCUUGGUGGGGUGUAAGACAAAAGAAAGCGUGGUGGCGAUGAUAUUCUCAGGGUUUACGUAACCGCACGGAGUCAACCCACGGUUUUGUGGGGGAAGUUAGUAACGCUCUAACUUUGAAAACAAGGAUUCUGGUCGGAUGACAAACUGACACCCACUUCUUAUCUGACAGUCAUAAAAAUGGAUUGUCUCUGAAAUAAAACAUCAGAAGUGAUGAAGUCUCUUUGAUGAAAGGCUUAUUCAUUGUCACGCCAGCUCCCUCAAACGAGCUGUGGUUUGGGUGACAUAUGUGCGACCCUCCCCCCCUCCCGACCCCCUUGCAGCUUACCCGUCUUUGUGUCUUCAGACUUCCUGUUGUACCGUUGGCAGGAGUGUCUGUGUGUGUGUGUGUGUGUGUGUGUGUGAAAGCUGUUAGGCAUCUUUUAGGAUCUGAUGAGGAAACUUAAAAGAAAAAAAGCCCUCAGCCAGGUCAGGGACAUUAAAGUCUUGUGAUUUCAAGUGUGUGUGUGAGAGACCAUGUCCAGCUGCUACCUUUGGAAAAAAAAACUUUGAAGCAAGCAAGCUUUUGGUGCGAGACGGGAUGCUUUAUUUCAUUAAGUUGUAAAGUCUUAAGCUCCAGUCGAGUCAGACACCAGGCGAGCAAUGUUACCACACUUUAUGACCGGUUUAUUUAAAAAUCAAAGUCCGAUGUGGCAUUCAUUUAUUGCCGCUGUAUUUAACUUCAUGUUUCUUAUUAUAUCUUCAAGUUGUUAGUUGAUAUCAGUAGAUAGUAACAACAACAUUUGCCAGUGUCACUAAGUUGUCAAUCGCCUUUACCGUCUAGCAACUGAGCUUUGACUCAGCUUCAAAGUCAUUUUGAUUCACACAACCCAGAGACCAAAACCAAACCAAACAAUUGAUUUAUAAAGUGUCAGACUUUGCUGUCAUGACAGGAAGUAACACAACGCCAUCCCUCCUCCCUCUUUACAUAAUCCACUUUUAGUUGCAUGCCUUUUCUCACAUGACAUACGUGACACAAUCCACUUUUAAUUGAAUCCUCUCAUGUGUACAUACAGUUUAAAUGCCUUCAAUAUGUAUCUAAAUGACUCAAUAAAAAGAUUUGCUUAAAGCCGACUUUCCACGUUGCAACAAAAGAACAUGAGAUUACCGUCAUCAUUGUAAAACCAUAUGACAUCUAGUCUCCAGUUCCAUGAAUCUUUAAAUGUUUUCAGUUGUACUUCUUAGAAACAUUAUUACAUACUGGAACCCUAUAGUAGAAAAUGACUUCUAUUAGGAUAUAACGCUGUCAUUGCAUUGUCAAAACACCAUAUGAAUGACUUCAUAUGCACACUAUCCGUGAAUGUUCAGAUGUUAUUUUUAAAGAAAUAGUUUCUCAUUGUCUUUUUGACAGAAAAGGGGGGUAAUGACUGUGGCGAGAAGGUUUGCUGUGUAGGGGCAGAUGAUUAUACUUAGACGUCCGGCACAUACUGAAAAGGAUCCCAGAAGCCCCUUUUCCCACCGCGCUCAAAGCAAGCCAGACGAGCCAGACGCCGGUCCUGUUUGGGUUUCGAUGCAAACAGAGUCAGAGUGGAUGUUGCCUGAAGGAGAAAUCAACGCGUCAUCUGCUUCAAAAGC
Molecule: long non-coding RNA, 1816 nt
Organism: Gasterosteus aculeatus aculeatus (three-spined stickleback)
Lineage: Eukaryota; Metazoa; Chordata; Actinopteri; Perciformes; Gasterosteidae
Source: Ensembl